GCCAGACUCCUACGGGAGGCAGCAGUGGGGAAUAUUGCACAAUGGGGGAAACCCUGAUGCAGCGACGCCGCGUGAGUGAAGAAGUAUUUCGGUAUGUAAAGCUCUAUCAGCAGGGAAGAUAAUGACGGUACCUGACUAAGAAGCCCCGGCUAACUACGUGCCAGCAGCCGCGGUAAUACGUAGGGGGCAAGCGUUAUCCGGAUUUACUGGGUGUAAAGGGUGCGCAGGUGGCAGGGCAAGUCAGAUGUGAAAGCCCGGGGCUCAACCCCGGUAUUGCAUUUGAAACUGUCCGGCUAGAGUGCAGGAGAGGUAAGCGGAAUUCCUAGUGUAGCGGUGAAAUGCGUAGAUAUUAGGAGGAACACCAGCGGCGAAGGCGGCUUACUGGACUGUAACUGACACUGAGGCACGAAAGCGUGGGGAGCAAACAGGAUUAGAUACCCGUGUAU
Molecule: ribosomal RNA, 446 nt
Filed under: uncultured bacterium
Lineage: Bacteria
Description: bacterial SSU rRNA
Rfam family: Bacterial small subunit ribosomal RNA
Source: RNAcentral